UGUAGAGUGGCACUAAGGCCCUGAAUUUUGGUCACACUGCAACCUACACAAAAACUUUACCAACAGAAGCUGUGGGGACUUGUAGCAUGCAGACCUUGCAGGCUUAAUGCUCACCUCGGUGUCUGCAUCUCCCUCAGAUUCUCUCCCAGGCGAUGAGACCCAAUGGCUAGAAAUUCACCAUGUGUAUUCUCAAGACCCAUGCCAGGGAGAUUUUUGACUCAUGGGACUCCCACUGUGGGAUCUCUUCACCGCAGAAGUUCUCUUCAGAGCUGCUGUGCUCAAUGGUGUUUCAACCGGUAUCUAAGAGGCCCUAGAGCUCCAGGACAAUGAUAAGACUUGCUAUAUGGGGAGGGCUGUCUCAAAGGCUGUUGAGCACAUCAGUAAAACUAUAUUGUGCCUGCCCUGGUUAGCAAGAAACUGAACAUCACAGAACAAGAGAAGAUUGACAAACUGUUGAUCCAGAUGGAGGGGACAGAAAAUAAAUCUAGGUUUGGUGCGAACGCCAUUCUGGGAGUGUCCCUUGCCAUGUGCAAAGCUGGUGCUGUUGAGAAGGGAGUUCCCCUGUACUGCCACAUCGCUGACUUGGCUGCCAACUCGGCUGCCAAAUCUGAAGUCAUCCUGUCAGUUCUGGUGUUGAAUGUCAUCAGUGGUGGUCCUCAUGCUGGCAACAAGCUAGCCAUGCAGGAGUUCAUGAACCUCCCAGUAGGGGCCACAAACUUCAGGGAGGCCAUGCGCAUUGGGGAUGAAGGUGGGUUUGCUCCCAACACCCUGGUGAAUGAGGAAGGCCUGGAGCUGCUGAAGACUUCGAUUGGCAAAGCUGGUUACACCGAUAAGAUUGUUAUCACCAUGGACAUAGCAGCCUCCAAGUUUUACAGGUUUGGGAAGUAUGUCCUGGACUUCAAGUCUUCUGAUGACUCCAGCAGGUACAUCUCACCUGACAAGCUGGCUGACCUGCACAAGUUCUUCAUCAAUGACUACCCAGUGGUGUCUAUGGAAAAUCUCUUUGACCAGAAUGACUGGGGAGCUUGGCAGAAGUUCACGGCCAUUGCAGGAAUCCAGGUGGUGGGGAUAAUCUCACAGUAACCAACCCGAAGAGGAUUGCCAAGGCCACAGAGAAGUCAUGCAACUGCCUCCUGCUCAGCGUGAACUAGAUUGGCUCUGUGACCGAGUCCUUGCAGAGGUGCAAGCUGGCACAGGCCAAUGGUUGGGGCGUCAUGGUGUUGCAUCAUUCUGGGGAGACUGAACAUACCUUCAUUGCCUGCCUGGGGGUGGUGAUGUGCACUGGGCAGACCAAGAUGUGUGCCCCUUGCCAAUAAGAGCGCUUGGCCAAGUAGAACCAGCUCCUCAGAAUUGAAGAGGAGCUGGGCAGCAACGCUAAAUUUGCUGGCAGAAACUUCAGAAACCCCUGGCUAAGCAGGCCAGCGCUUCAGUCACCUGUUGGCUAAUUAGACUUCUCUCCUCCUCUCAGCUUGGGCAGCUCCAGGCUGACCAACACUUGCAGGGGCCCCUGCUAGUUAGCUUCCCUCACCCACUGCCGUGGAGUUCACACUGCUUCCUUAGAACUGCUACAGAAGCCAAGCUCCCUGGAGCCCUCUUGGCAGCUCUAGCUUUACAGUCAUGUAAUUGGACCAAAUGAUUGUUUUUCUCACCUCACUUUCCACCAGGUGUCUGGAGCAAUCUGAGCCUCCGGUGUCAUCUCCGCGGUAGCCACAGGCAAGAUCCCCACUGGUUUUGUGCUCAAAAUAAAAAGCCUCAGUGACCAAUGAG
Molecule: non-coding RNA, 1767 nt
Organism: Callithrix jacchus (white-tufted-ear marmoset)
Lineage: Eukaryota; Metazoa; Chordata; Mammalia; Primates; Cebidae
Source: RefSeq, a predicted model, not a curated record